Molecule: ribosomal RNA, 497 nt
Filed under: uncultured bacterium
Lineage: Bacteria
Description: partial 16S ribosomal RNA
Rfam family: Bacterial small subunit ribosomal RNA
Source: RNAcentral
GAUGAACGCUGGCGGCGUGCCUAAUACAUGCAAGUCGAGCGAACGGACGAGAAGCUUGCUUCUCUGAUGUUAGCGGCGGACGGGUGAGUAACACGUGGAUAACCUACCUAUAAGACUGGGAUAACUUCGGGAAACCGGCGCUAAUACCGGAUAAUCUUUUGAACCGCAUGGUUCAAAAGUGAAAGACGGUCUUGCUGUCACUUAUCGAUGGAUCCGCGCUGCUUUAGCUAGUUGGUAAGGUAACGGCUUACCAAGGCAACGAUGCAUAGCCGACCUGAGAGAGUGAUCGGCCACACUGGAACUGAGACACGGUCCAGACUCCUACGGGAGGCAGCAGUAGGGAAUCUGCCGCAGUGGGCGAAAGCCUGACGGAGCAACGCCACGUGAGUGAUGAAGGUCUUCGGAUCGUAAAACUCUGUUAUUAGGGAAGAACAUAUGUGUAAGUAACUGUGCACAGCUUGACGGUACCUAAUCAGAAAGCCACGGCUAACUACGUG